CCUACGGGAGGCAGCAGUGGGGGAUAUUGCACAAUGGGGGAAACCCUGAUGCAGCGACGCCGCGUGGGUGAAGAAGCGCCUCGGCGCGUACAGCCCUGUCAGCAGGGAAGAAAAUGACGGUACCUGAAGAAGAAGCCCCGGCUAACUACGUGCCAGCAGCCGCGGUAAUACGUAGGGGGCAAGCGUUAUCCGGAUUUAUUGGGUGUAAAGGGGGCGCAGACGGCGAUGCAAGCCAGGAGUGAAAACCCGGGGCCCAACCCCGGGACUGCGCUUGGAACUGCGUGGCUAGAGUGCAGGAGGGGCAGGCGGAAUUCCUGGUGGAGCGGUGAAAUGCGUAGAUAUCAGGAGGAACACCGGUGGCGAAGGCGGCCUGCUGGACUGCAACUGACGUUGAGGCCCGAAAGCGUGGGGAGCAAACAGGAUUAGAUACCCUUGUAGUC
Molecule: ribosomal RNA, 440 nt
Filed under: uncultured bacterium
Lineage: Bacteria
Description: partial 16S ribosomal RNA
Rfam family: Bacterial small subunit ribosomal RNA
Source: RNAcentral